UCGCGAUGAAGCUCGUCCGGGGUGGAUUCGUUAAAAACUCACCGGAAUCGCGGUUUGCGCGCCCUGUCUGUCGGGUUGCAACCCGCUAAAUUUAAUAGACUGCACUAAGCAUGUAGAUCCCUCGGCAGAGGACUGACGGACGCGGGUUCAAUUCCCGCCGCCUCCACCA
Molecule: transfer-messenger RNA, 169 nt
Filed under: Porticoccus sp.
Lineage: Bacteria; Pseudomonadati; Pseudomonadota; Gammaproteobacteria; Cellvibrionales; Porticoccaceae
Description: partial transfer-messenger RNA
Rfam family: transfer-messenger RNA
About the family: Bacterial tmRNA, also known as 10Sa RNA or SsrA, is named for its dual tRNA and mRNA-like properties. Its role is to liberate the mRNA from a stalled ribosome. To accomplish this part of the tmRNA is used as a reading frame that ends in a translation stop signal.
Source: RNAcentral